RNAcentral lists this non-coding RNA (48 nucleotides) under Trichobilharzia regenti. Lineage: Eukaryota; Metazoa; Platyhelminthes; Trematoda; Strigeidida; Schistosomatidae. The record is from RNAcentral.
AGUUAAUUGACGAGUCCCAAAUAGGACGAAAUGCCCGUUAUCCUGGAU